This 472-nucleotide ribosomal RNA is filed under the name uncultured bacterium. Its description in RNAcentral is "bacterial SSU rRNA". It matches the Rfam family "Bacterial small subunit ribosomal RNA", at positions 50 to 524 of the family's 1533-position model. The record is from RNAcentral.
UACACAUGCAAGUCGAACGAUGAAACUUAGAAGAUUUCUUCGGAAUGAAUUUAAGCGGAUUAGUGGCGAACGGGUGAGUAACACGUGAGUAACCUGCCUUACACAAGGGGAUAGCCUUUGGAAACGAAGAAUAAUACCCUAUAAAGUCAAAAUAUCGCAUGAUAUAAUGACCAAAGAUUUAUCGGUGUAAGAUGGACUUGCGUCUGAUUAGCUAGUUGGUGAGAUAAAAGCUCACCAAGGCGACGAUCAGUAGCCGGCUUGAGAGAGUGUACGGCCACAUUGGGACUGAGACACGGCCCAAACUCCUACGGGAGGCAGCAGUGGGGAAUUUUGCACAAUGGGGGAAACCCUGAUGCAGCGACGCCGCGUGAUUUAGAAGGCCUUCGGGUUGUAAAAAUCUUUUUUACGGGAUGAAAAUGACAGUACCAUAAGAAUAAGGUCCGGCUAAAUACGUGCCAGCAGCCGCGGUAAU